Humulus lupulus (European hop) is the source of this 839-nucleotide long non-coding RNA. RefSeq lists it as uncharacterized. The record is from RefSeq and is a predicted model, not a curated record. The transcript has 3 exons. NCBI's taxonomy places the organism in Eukaryota, Viridiplantae, Streptophyta, Magnoliopsida, Rosales, Cannabaceae.
UUUUCCUUUCUCUUACUAUACCCAAAAAUCUUCUUAACAUCCUUCUAAAGUUCUAAACCUCGGAGAUCUAGGCGAAGUUCUGUCCAUAACGCUAGCCUACGAAAACCUUUUAGGAAGCUAACAAUUUCGAUUGUUUUAUCAAGACGCAAGGUAAGAGACCCCAAAUAUAAACUGUUGAUGAGUAUACGUGGGGCCAACAUGACUGUACAUAUGGGGCUGACCUGAAGGGAGUGGAGUUCUGCUAUGCUAUUUUAUAAAUAAACAAGAAACUUGGUUUUAUUAUAUUUCAUUAAAAGUAUUUUGUGAACUUUAUCAUUUACUUAAAGCUUUAAAAAGUAUUUCAUGAACUUUGUAAUUUACAUAAAGCUUUUCAAUUUAUCAGUUGGAUACAUUUUCAUUUCUACGUUAAGGUGUAGUAACGCCACGAAAAUGAUUUAUAAAAGUAUUAAGAUUUGUAUGUAAGAUAAAGUUUUUAUCUAGUUGUGAGUAUUGUGUGGUUAAGGUUAUAAACAUUAUUUAUGUAUUGUUUAAUAAAGUUUUUGUAAAUUCAGAAUUUCAGUAUUGUCAUAUUUAGGUUAAAAUUUGUUUUUACUCUAUAUAUAUGUAUGUUAAGAAAGGAGGUCGUUACAACAACACUAUAAGUACUAACCCACAUUAAUUAUUUAAAUUAUUUGUUUUCUUCUACUAAUUGGUAUCUAACACCCAAUAUCUUUGUUCAUUUUUCUACUAUUUUGUAUUGAACUAUUUUUUUUUUACUAUUUCUACUAAUUGGUAUUGAACACAUAGUAUCUUUGUUCAUUUUUCUACCAUUUUGUAUUGAAAUAUUUUUUAGCAUUUGA